This 107-nucleotide small RNA is filed under the name Marmota monax (woodchuck). The record is from RNAcentral. Lineage: Eukaryota; Metazoa; Chordata; Mammalia; Rodentia; Sciuridae.
GCUGGGCACGAUGGCACAUGCCUGUAAUCCCAGCAACUCAGGAGGCUGAGGCAGGAGGAUUGCAGGUUCGAGGCCAGCUUCAGCAACUUAAUGAGGCCCUGUCCCUU